RNAcentral lists this ribosomal RNA (707 nucleotides) under uncultured bacterium. Its description in RNAcentral is "bacterial SSU rRNA". It matches the Rfam family "Bacterial small subunit ribosomal RNA", at positions 100 to 823 of the family's 1533-position model. The record is from RNAcentral.
GGACGGGUGAGUAACGCGUGAGUAACCUGCCUUUCAGAGGGGAAUAACGUUCUGAAAAGAACGCUAAUACCGCAUAACGUACAGUUACCGCAUGGUAGCAGUACCAAAGGAGCAAUCCGCUGAAAGAUGGACUCGCGUCCGAUUAGCUAGUUGGUGGGGUAAAGGCCUACCAAGGCGACGAUCGGUAGCCGGACUGAGAGGUUGAACGGCCACAUUGGGACUGAGACACGGCCCAGACUCCUACGGGAGGCAGCAGUGGGGGAUAUUGCACAAUGGGGGAAACCCUGAUGCAGCAACGCCGCGUGUGGGAAGAAGGUUUUCGGAUUGUAAACCACUGUUCUUGGUGAAGAUAAUGACGGUAACCAAGGAGAAAGCUCCGGCUAACUACGUGCCAGCAGCCGCGGUAAUACGUAGGGAGCAAGCGUUGUCCGGAUUUACUGGGUGUAAAGGGUGCGUAGGCGGCUAGGCAAGUCAGACGUGAAAACCAUGGGCUCAACCUGUGGACUGCGUUUGAAACUGUUUAGCUUGAGUGAAGUAGAGGUAGGCGGAAUUCCCGGUGUAGCGGUGAAAUGCGUAGAGAUCGGGAGGAACACCAGUGGCGAAGGCGGCCUACUGGGCUUUAACUGACGCUGAGGCACGAAAGCAUGGGUAGCAAACAGGAUUAGAUACCCUGGUAGUCCAUGCCGUAAACGAUGAUUACUAGGUGU